This 253-nucleotide ribosomal RNA is filed under the name uncultured bacterium. RNAcentral's name for it is "partial 16S ribosomal RNA". It matches the Rfam family "Bacterial small subunit ribosomal RNA", at positions 524 to 776 of the family's 1533-position model. The record is from RNAcentral.
UACGUAGGGUGCAAGCGUUGUUCGGAAUUAUUGGGCGUAAAGCGCGUGUAGGCGGCUUGGCAAGUCGGAUGUGAAAUCCCUCGGCUCAACCAAGGAAGUGCAUCCGAAACUGCUGAGCUUGAGUACGAAAGAGGAUCGCGGAAUUCCCGGUGUAGAGGUGAAAUUCGUAGAUAUCGGGAGGAACACCAGCGGCGAAGGCGGCGACCUGGGUGGAUACUGACGCUGAGGUGCGAAAGCGUGGGGAGCAAACAGG